CGCGGGGUGGAGCAGUCUGGUAGCUCGUCGGGCUCAUAACCCGAAGGUCGCACGUUCAAAUCGUGCCCCCGCAACCA
Molecule: transfer RNA, 77 nt
Filed under: Acidobacteriota bacterium
Lineage: Bacteria; Pseudomonadati; Acidobacteriota
Also listed under: 2 other names
Description: Acidobacteria bacterium tRNA-Met
Rfam family: tRNA
About the family: Transfer RNA (tRNA) molecules are approximately 80 nucleotides in length. Their secondary structure includes four short double-helical elements and three loops (D, anti-codon, and T loops).
Source: RNAcentral